CCUUGGAUAAAAUAUUUCAGUAGUUUAUUCGUCGGUCCAACUGUACAUGAUGCAGUGUUGAUAGGGACACGAGAUGAUGACUAACAUGGAGUUUUACACAAUGCCAGUGCGAUGGCAGCACUUGGAACACACCAACUGUCUGUCAGCUGAGCUGGAAACUAAAGUCCUGGAAAUGUAACCUGUUGAGGCCUCGGCACAUACAGUAUGUCAGAUUUGGAAUAGUCAUUUUUAGAUCGGUUGAAAAACACACAAAAUAUAUAUUUUCUUCGAUUCCACAAAUGUAAAAGGAUGCUCUUUCGCUUUUCACUUGGACAUGUUGAUUCAAUUAUGCACAUUGUCAUUCUUUAUUUCAGUACUUUGAAGCGAAAUGAAAUGAGAUGUGGGAAUAGCUGAAUACAAAAUGUUGGCUGAUUCGCAGAGGUUUUAUUCCAUGUUUAUACUGAUAUCAUUAUUUCAUGUAAUAACCCCAUAAGUUUGUGCAACAUCUUUCUUUGCAUAGAAAUAAAAUUUAAAUAUUUUGUUUGUUGACAUGCACCUUUUCUUUAGCAGCAUAUUUUAUCUUGCGGAUUUGGGACUCCCUUACAGAAUUAUAAGCCCACUAUAGUGUGAAUACAUGCAGCGUACCAGCAGAGAUGAACUUGAUUUCUAGUAAGAGUUUAUGAGAGCACAAGCCAGCCAGUAUAGUGGGUGUUGAUGAGGACUGUUAAAUAGUGACACCACCUGAUCAGACAGGUGGAACUAGUCUGCAGGGACACACUGUGUGUCUGUCUGCAGCACUGUGAGAGAGAGGAACAGACUAUGGGGAAAGUGCUCUGUGUGCGACAACAUCCAAACAUUCCACGUGAUUGAUUCUUUGGAUUUUGAGUCACUACUGGAAGUACUUAAGGAACCCGAUGACGUCAUUCAUAGACUGUGUCAUGUGUGAUCCAUCUUUUUGUCAUUAUCACUAUGCCCCGACCUUUAGAGAUGACACAUGUGCUGUAUACCGCUAAAUCUGACCUCUAGAGAAGACACAUGUACUGUAUACCCCUAAAUCUGACCUCUAGAGAAGCACCCCUAAAUCUGACCUCCAGAGAAGACACCCCUAAAUCUGACCUCCGGAGAAGACACCCCUAAAUCUGACCUCUGCUCUGUCCCAUGUAUACUGAACUUGACCCUUGACCUCUAUAUUGGAUAAAUACAGUGUGUAACGAGUGAUAACUUUGCUGAACACCUAAUAGGUAGAUCAUUACAUUCUCUGGUUAUCCAUAGCAUUUUGAACCAAAUCAUAAUUCUGUUACUGUUUUCUUUCAUUAACAUUACCAUAAACACCCGCUAUACAACAUGCUUAAAAUAAACCCAAAGCAGAAAUGAUAUGUUAUAAUUCAGAAGCUGGACUCUUGUUCCUCUUUUAUGUACAAUCUUGCCCAAUGUAUAUAUUUCCAUUUAUUGAAUGUGGUCUGUAUUUCCCAUUUUUAUGAGGCGAUCUCCUCCAUUUGAUGAUUCAGUAGAUCUCUCUUUUUGCUGUGUGCUGUUCAUAGCUUUGCCAUGCAGUUCUUUGCGAGGGCUCCGCAUGCCAGGGCCAGCGAGCUGCACGCUCUGUGAGGGAAAUCAUGCCUGGUGAACCUCUGUGGACUGGCGAUCAGAAGAGAGGAGUUCUGUGGCUAUAGAUAUCAGGGUGGUGUUGUUAGGUGGUUGGGUUGUUAGGUAGGUGGGUUGUUCGGAAGGUGGGUUGUUAGGUAGGGUUGGUGGGGUUGUUAGAUUGUUGGGUUGUUAGGAAGGUGGGUUGUUAGGUAGGUUGGUGGGGUUGUUAGAUUGUUGGGUUGUUAGGUGGGUGGGUUGUUAGGUAGGUGGGUUGUUAGGUAGGUUAGUGGGGUUGUUAGAUUGUUGGGUUGUUAGGAAGGUGGGUUGUUAUUUUUGAUGAUUUUUUUUUUACCCCUUUUUUCUCCCCAAUUUCGUGGUAUUCAAUUGGUAGUUACAGUCUUGUCUCAUCGCUGCAACUCCCGUACGGACUCAGGAGAUGCAAAGGUCGAGAGCCAUGCGUCCUCCGAAACACAACCCAACCUAGCCGCACUGCUUCUUGACAUAACGCACAUCCAACCUAUAUGUGCGUCCUCCAAUGUGUCGGAGGAAACACCGUACACCUGGCGACCUGGUCAAAAUGCACUGCGCCCUGCCACAGGAGUCGCUAGUGCGCGAUGAGACAAGGAUAUCCCUGCCGGCCAAACCCUCCCUAACCCGGACAACGCUGUGCAUCGCCCCAAGGACCUCCCGGUCGCGGCCGGCUGCGACAGAGCCUGGGCUUGAACCCAGAAUCUCUGCUGGCACUGCGAUGCAGUGCCUUUAGACAACUGUAACACCCGAGAGGCCCGGUAGGUGGAUUGUUAGGUAGGUGGGUUGUUAGGUGGUGAGGUUGUUAGGUAGGUGGGUGAGGUUGUUAGGUAGGUGGGUGGGGUUGUUAGGUAGGUGGGUGGGGUUGUUAGGUGGGUUGUUAGGUAAGUGUGUGGGGUUGUUAGGAAGGUUGGUGUGGUUGUUAGGUAGGUGGGUGGGGUUGUUAGGUGGGUUGUUAGGUAAGUGUGUGUGGGGUUGUUAGGAAGGUGGGUGGGGUUGUUAGGUAGGUGGGUGGGGUUGUUAGGUGGGUGGGUGGGGUUGUUAGGUGGGUUGUUAGGUAGGUGUGUGGGGUUGUUAGGAAGGUGGGUGGGGUUGUUAGGUAGGUGGGUGGGGUUGUUAGGUAGGUUGUUAGGUAGGUGUGUGGGGUUGUUAGGAAGGUGGGUGUGGUUGUUAGGUAGGUGGGUGGGGUUAGGUGGGUGGGUGGGGUUUUAGGUGGGAUGUUAGGUAAGUGGGUGGGGUUGUUAGAUAGGUGGGGGGUUGUUAGGUAGGUUGUUAGGCAGUUGGGUGGGGUUGUUAGGUGGGUGGGGUUGUUAGGUGAGUGGGUUGUUAGGUGGGUAGGGUUGUUAGGUGGGUGGGGUUGUUAGGUGGUGGGAUUCAGGGGCGGACUGAAACAAUAAUUCAGGCAGAGAAUUUGACUCCAUCCCAGGCCACCCUGUUCACACAAACCACCAGACUGCUAAUUUUGUAGGCUAACCCUAUUUGUUGAUGUAACGGGUACCAAACUAGUUAUACAUUUGGCCACUAUGUUAAUCUGGGAAGAAAGUUACCCACAUGACAAAAUGCAAACAUUUGGGACUGACCAACAAGUAGCCUAUCUGAACACUGAGUUUUCAAGGUAUGCUAUGGCUAUGGGUGCCCCCUCAUAAACUCUCUAGGAAUACACCAAUCAUAGCACAUACAAAUGUACAAGGUAUGGCCCCCGAUUACAGUCCUACUGAUAAUCUCAUAAAUAAAGCACAUAUUAAUCUAAAAUCAUAGCCUACAUGUUUAGGUUUGUGCUCUUAAGUUGUUGCUGAAGGUUCCUGCUCUGAGUCUGACUCUGAACUGUCCACCUCCUCCAGUUCUGCAAGAGCACCUGAAGCUCUAGUGCUGCUGCUGCUUCCUUCCUCCACCUUUACAAAGAAAAGACUGUAUUAUCACACUAUCAUUAGUGUAUCAGUAGGCUACAUUAAUACAGCUCUGGGAAACAUUAAGAGUGGUCUCUUAACUUGGAGUGGUCUCUUAACUUGGAGUGGUCUCUUAACUUGGAGUGGUCUCUUAACUUGGAGUGGUCUCUUAACUUGGAGUGGUCUCUUAACUUGGAGUGGUCUCUUAACUUGGAGUGGUCUCUUAACUUGGAGUGGUCUCUUCAUUUAGAGUGGUCUCUUCAUUUGGAGUGGUCUCUUCAUUAAGAGUGGUCU
Molecule: long non-coding RNA, 3770 nt
Organism: Oncorhynchus tshawytscha (Chinook salmon)
Lineage: Eukaryota; Metazoa; Chordata; Actinopteri; Salmoniformes; Salmonidae
Source: Ensembl